RNAcentral lists this ribosomal RNA (253 nucleotides) under uncultured bacterium. Its description in RNAcentral is "partial 16S ribosomal RNA". It matches the Rfam family "Bacterial small subunit ribosomal RNA", at positions 524 to 776 of the family's 1533-position model. The record is from RNAcentral.
GACGAACCGUACGAACGUUAUUCGGAAUCACUGGGCUUAAAGGGUGCGUAGGCGGUGCGGAAAGUUGGCUGUGAAAUCCCUCGGCUCAGCCGAGGAAUUGCGCCCAAAACUACCGUGCUCGAGGGAGACAGAGGUGAGUGGAACUUGGGGUGGAGCGGUGAAAUGCGUUGAUAUCCUAAGGAACACCAGUGGCGAAAGCGACUCACUGGGUCUCUUCUGACGCUGAGGCCCGAAAGCUUGGGGAGCAAACGGG